GAUUAAUUUUUUUACAAAAACAAAUAAGUGUUUAAAAUAAAAAUUUUAAGUUAUGAAAAGAGAAGAGGUAGGAAAAGUAUUUUUAAUUCAACAUUUACAGAGUGAAUCAGGAGAAGAAGUGUUGGUAAUUUAUUUUGAAACAGAUUUUAUCACGAGAAGAAGUGGUAAAAAUAAUGAUAUUCUUUUAUUCAACAUUUACGGAUUGAAUUACGAGAAAAAGUGGUUGUAAUUGAUUUAAAACAUAUUGCAUCACGAGAAGAAAUAGAAAAAUAUUGCUAUACUUAAGUAUCAAGAUUAAAAUACUGUUGUACCGUUAAACUGAAGGUGACAAUAAAGUUUACAAAAUUUGCUCUGGCUGAAUUUUUCAAUGAAAAAACAAUAUGUGUGCCAUGAAUGUAACCUGUUUUUCAUGGCAGAUCAAUGAAAAUUUGGUGUAUUGGUUAAAUCACUUGCAAGCAUCUUGCCUUUAGGCUGCGAUACGUGAAAUCACGCUUUUAAAAGUAACUGAAAGCAGCUGAAAAUAAGAAUUUUUGUUUUAUUUUGUUAUGAGACUGGUUUAGAGCGGAAUUAUCUGUGCCUCCAGCUUAAAGGUUGCAGGUUACAAAAAAGUGACACUGAUGAGAUUGUUUAUCAGUUUCUCAAAGAUUGAAGAAAUCUUAAGUGUUUUAGGGUUAAGUGUUUCCAUCUGAGCUUUGCUUGACCAUCUCUUUCAAUUU
Long non-coding RNA from Hydra vulgaris (swiftwater hydra), 716 nucleotides. RefSeq lists it as uncharacterized. The record is from RefSeq and is a predicted model, not a curated record. NCBI's taxonomy places the organism in Eukaryota, Metazoa, Cnidaria, Hydrozoa, Anthoathecata, Hydridae.